ACGAGUUCCCGUUGAUUGACGUGCUUGCACUGAUUUCAACAUUGGAACGAGUGGCGAACUGGUGAGUAACACGUGGAAAACCUGCCCAGAAGCAGGGGAUAACACUUGGAAACAGGUGCUAAUACCGUAUAACAACAAAAACCGCAUGGUUUUUGUUUGAAAGGUGGCUUCGGCUAUCACUUCUGGAUGGUUCCGCGGCGCAUUAGCUUGUUGGUGGGGUAACGGCUCACCAAGGCGAUGAUGCGUAGCCGACCUGAGAGGGUAAUCGGCCACAUUGGGACUGAGACACGGCCCAGACUCCUACGGGAGGCAGCAGUAGGGAAUCUUCCACAAUGGACGCAAGUCUGAUGGAGCAAUGCCGCGUGAGUGAAGAAGGGUUUCGGCUCGUAAAACUCUGUUGUUGAAGAAGAACGGGUGUCAGAGUAACUGUUGACAUCGUGACGGUAUUCAACCAGAAAGCCACGGCUAACUACGUGCCAGCAGCCGCGGUAAUACGUAGGUGGCAAGCGUUGUCCGGAUUUAUUGGGCGUAAAGCGAGCGCAGGCGGUUUCUUAAGUCUGAUGUGAAAGCCUUCGGCUUAACCGAAGAAGUGCAUCGGAAACUGGGGAACUUGAGUGCAGAAGAGGACAGUGGAACUCCUGGUGUAGCGGUGGAAUGCGUAGAUAUAUGGAAGAACACCAGUGGCGAAGGCGGCUGUCUAGUCUGCAACUGACGCUGAGGCUCGAAAGCAUGGGUAGCGAACAGGAUUAGAUACCCUGGUAGUCCAUGCCGUAAACGAUGAGUGCUAG
Molecule: ribosomal RNA, 788 nt
Filed under: Levilactobacillus namurensis
Lineage: Bacteria; Bacillati; Bacillota; Bacilli; Lactobacillales; Lactobacillaceae
Description: bacterial SSU rRNA
Rfam family: Bacterial small subunit ribosomal RNA
Source: RNAcentral